AACGAACGCUGGCGGCAGGUCUUAGGCAUGCAAGUCGAACGGGUGUAGCAAUACAUCAGUGGCGCACGAGUGAGUAACGCGUGGGAAUUUGCCCAUCGGUGGGGAAUAACGUUUGGAAACGAACGCUAAUACCGCAUACGUCGAGAAAUCGAGAAAGAUUUAUCGGAGAUGGAUGUGCCCGCGUUGGAUUAGCUUGUUGGUGGGGUAACGGCCUACCAAGGCGAUGAUCCAUAGCUGGUCUGAGAGGACGAUCAGCCACGCUGGAACUGAGACACGGUCCAGACUCCUACGGGAGGCAGCGGCUAAGAAUAUUGGGCAAUGGGGGAAACCCUGACCCAGCCAUGCCGCGUGAAUGAAGAAGGCCUUCGGGUUGUAAAGUUCUUUUAGUCGUGAAGAUGAUGACAGUAGCGACAGAAAAAGCACCGGCUAACUUCGUGCCAGCCGCCGCGGUAA
This 453-nucleotide ribosomal RNA is filed under the name uncultured bacterium. RNAcentral's name for it is "partial 16S ribosomal RNA". It matches the Rfam family "Bacterial small subunit ribosomal RNA", at positions 29 to 523 of the family's 1533-position model. The record is from RNAcentral.